Molecule: ribosomal RNA, 461 nt
Filed under: uncultured microorganism
Description: bacterial SSU rRNA
Rfam family: Bacterial small subunit ribosomal RNA
Source: RNAcentral
GAGUUUGAUCCUGGCUCAGAGCGAACGCUGGCGGCAGGCCUAACACAUGCAAGUCGAACGAACUCUUCGGAGUUAGUGGCGGACGGGUGAGUAACACGUGGGAACGUGCCUUUUGGUUCGGAAUAACUCAGGGAAACUUGUGCUAAUACCGAAUGUGCCCUUCGGGGAAAGAUUUAUCGCCAUUAGAGCGGCCCGCGUCUGAUUAGCUAGUUGGUGAGGUAAAGGCUCACCAAGGCGACGAUCAGUAGCUGGUCUGAGAGGAUGAUCAGCCACAUUGGGACUGAGACACGGCCCAAACUCCUACGGGAGGCAGCAGUGGGGAAUCUUGCGCAAUGGGCGAAAGCCUGACGCAGCCAUGCCGCGUGAAUGAUGAAGGUCUUAGGAUUGUAAAAUUCUUUCACCGGGGACGAUAAUGACGGUACCCGGAGAAGAAGCCCCGGCUAACUUCGUGCCAGCCGCCG